UACGGAGGGUGCAAGCGUUGUUCGGAAUCACUGGGCGUAAAGCGCGUGUAGGCGGUUCCUUAAGUCUUGUGUGAAAGCCCGGGGCUUACCCCCGGAAGUGCACGGGAAACUGGGGAACUUGAGUACCGGAGAGGAGGGUGGAAUUCCUGGUGUAGCGGUGAAAUGCGUAGAUAUCAGGAGGAACACCGGUGGCGAAGGCGGCCCUCUGGAAGGAUACUGACGCUGAGACGCGAAAGCGUGGGGAGCAAACAGG
This 253-nucleotide ribosomal RNA is filed under the name uncultured bacterium. RNAcentral describes it as "partial 16S ribosomal RNA". It matches the Rfam family "Bacterial small subunit ribosomal RNA", at positions 524 to 776 of the family's 1533-position model. The record is from RNAcentral.